RNAcentral lists this ribosomal RNA (330 nucleotides) under uncultured bacterium. Its description in RNAcentral is "bacterial SSU rRNA". It matches the Rfam family "Bacterial small subunit ribosomal RNA", at positions 568 to 898 of the family's 1533-position model. The record is from RNAcentral.
CACGUAGGCGGGUUGCUAAGUCAGGGGUGAAAUCCUGGAGCUCAACUCCAGAACUGCCCUUGAUACUGGCGACCUCGAGUCCGGGAGAGGUGAGUGGAACUCCGAGUGUAGAGGUGAAAUUCGUAGAUAUUCGGAAGAACACCAGUGGCGAAGGCGGCUCACUGGCCCGGUACUGACGCUGAGGUGCGAAAGCGUGGGGAGCAAACGGGAUUAGAUACCCUGGUAGUCCACGCCGUAAACGAUGGAUGCUAGCCGUUGGCGGGCUUGCUCGUCAGUGGCGCAGCUAACGCUUUAAGCAUCCCGCCUGGGGAGUACGGUCGCAAGAUUAAA